AGAGUUUGAUCCUGGCUCAGAAUCAACGCUGGCGGCGUGCCUAACACAUGCAAGUCGAACGAGAAAGUGGAGCAAUCCAUGAGUACAGUGGCGUACGGGUGAGUAACACGUGACUAACCUACCCUCGAGUGGGGAAUAACCUCGGGAAACCGGGGCUAAUACCGCAUAACAUCUUCGGAUCAAAUGCGUAAGCAGCUUGAGGAGGGGGUCGCGGCCGAUUAGCUAGUUGGCGGGGUAAUGGCCCACCAAGGCAAUGAUCGGUAGCCGGCCUGAGAGGGCGCACGGCCACACUGGAACUGAAACACGGUCCAGACUCCUACGGGAGGCAGCAGCGGGGAAUUUUGCGCAAUGGGGGAAACCCUGACGCAGCAACGCCGCGUGGAGGAUGAAGCCCUUUGGGGUGUAAACUCCUUUCGAUCGGGACGAUUCUGACGGUACCGGAUGAAGAAGCACCGGCUAACUCUGUGCCAGCAGCCGCGGUAAUACAGAGGGUGCAAGCGUUGUUCGGAAUUAUUGGGCGUAAAGGGUGCGUAGGCUGUGCGGUAAGUCUCUUGUGAAAUCUCCGGGCUCAACUCGGAGCCUGCAAGGGAAACUACCUUGCUGGAGUAUGGGAGAGGUGAGUGGAAUUCCCGGUGUAGCGGUGAAAUGCGUAGAUAUCGGGAAGGAACACCUGUGGCGACAGCGGCUCACUGGA
This 694-nucleotide ribosomal RNA is filed under the name uncultured soil bacterium. Its description in RNAcentral is "bacterial SSU rRNA". It matches the Rfam family "Bacterial small subunit ribosomal RNA", at positions 8 to 733 of the family's 1533-position model. The record is from RNAcentral.